Molecule: ribosomal RNA, 1471 nt
Filed under: metagenome
Description: bacterial SSU rRNA
Rfam family: Bacterial small subunit ribosomal RNA
Source: RNAcentral
AGAGUUUGAUCAUGGCUCAGGAUGAACGCUGGCGGCGUGCUUAACACAUGCAAGUCGAACGAGGAAUUUUGAGUGAGACUUCGGUGGAUUUUAAAAUUCUUAGUGGCGGACGGGUGAGUAACGCGUGGGCAACCUGCCCUGUACAGGGGGACAACAGCUGGAAACGGCUGCUAAUACCGCAUAAGCGCACAGCAUCGCAUGAUGCCGUGUGAAAAACUCCGGUGGUACAGGAUGGGCCCGCGUUGGAUUAGGUAGUUGGUGGGGUAACGGCCUACCAAGCCGACGAUCCAUAGCCGACCUGAGAGGGUGACCGGCCACAUUGGGACUGAGACACGGCCCAAACUCCUACGGGAGGCAGCAGUGGGGAAUAUUGCACAAUGGGGGAAACCCUGAUGCAGCGACGCCGCGUGAGCGAAGAAGUAUUUCGGUAUGUAAAGCUCUAUCAGCAGGGAAGAAAAUGACGGUACCUGACUAAGAAGCCCCGGCUAACUACGUGCCAGCAGCCGCGGUAAUACGUAGGGGGCAAGCGUUAUCCGGAUUUACUGGGUGUAAAGGGAGCGUAGACGGCUUUGCAAGUCUGAUGUGAAAGGCGGGGGCUCAACCCCUGGACUGCAUUGGAAACUGUGAGGCUUGAGUGCCGGAGAGGUAAGCGGAAUUCCUAGUGUAGCGGUGAAAUGCGUAGAUAUUAGGAGGAACACCAGUGGCGAAGGCGGCUUACUGGACGGUAACUGACGUUGAGGCUCGAAAGCGUGGGGAGCAAACAGGAUUAGAUACCCUGGUAUUCCACGCCGUAAACGAUGAUGGCUAACCGCCGGCGACACACUGUCGGUGGCCAAGCGAAAGCGAUAAGCCAUUCACCUGGGGAGUACGUCGGCAACGAUGAAACUCAAAGGAAUUGACGGGGGCCCGCACAAGCGGAGGAACAUGUGGUUUAAUUCGAUGAUACGCGAGGAACCUUACCCGGGCUCGAACGGCACCUGGAUCACCCAGAGAUGGGCGAGUCUUCGGACAGGUGUCGAGGUGCUGCAUGGUUGUCGUCAGCUCGUGCCGUGAGGUGUCGGCUCAAGUGCCAUAACGAGCGCAACCCUUGCCGCCAGUUGCCAUCAGGUGAUGCUGGGCACUCUGGCGGGACUGCCACCGCAAGGUGUGAGGAGGGGGGGAUGACGUCAAAUCAGCACGGCCCUUACGUCCGGGGCGACACACGUGUUACAAUGGCGGCCACAGAGGGAAGCUACCCCGCGAGGGGAUGCGGAUCUCGAAAAGCCGUCCCAGUUCGGACUGGAGUCUGCAACCCGACUCCACGAAGUUGGAUUCGCUAGUAAUCGCGCAUCAGCCAUGGCGCGGUGAAUACGUUCCCGGGCCUUGUACACACCGCCCGUCAAGCCAUGGAAGCCGCGGGCGCCUGAAGUCCGUGACCGGAAGGAGCGGCCUAGGGCGAAAGUGGUAACUGGGGCUAAGUCGUAACAAGGUA